Molecule: ribosomal RNA, 253 nt
Filed under: uncultured bacterium
Lineage: Bacteria
Description: partial 16S ribosomal RNA
Rfam family: Bacterial small subunit ribosomal RNA
Source: RNAcentral
UACGUAGGGUGCAAGCGUUGUCCGGAAUCAUUGGGCGUAAAGAGCUCGUAGGCGGCUUGUUGCGUCGGCUGUGAAAACCCGCGGCUUAACUGCGGGCUUGCAGCCGAUACGGGCGGGCUGGAGUUCGGUAGGGGAGACUGGAAUUCCUGGUGUAGCGGUGAAAUGCGCAGAUAUCAGGAGGAACACCGGUGGCGAAGGCGGGUCUCUGGGCCGAUACUGACGCUGAGGAGCGAAAGCGUGGGGAGCGAACAGG